AGAGUUUGAUCAUGGCUCAGGACGAACGCUGGCGGCGUGCUUAACACAUGCAAGUCGAACGGAAAGGCCCUGCUUUUGUGGGGUGCUCGAGUGGCGAACGGGUGAGUAACACGUGAGUAACCUGCCCUUGACUUUGGGAUAACUUCAGGAAACUGGGGCUAAUACCGGAUAGGAGCUCCUGCUGCAUGGUGGGGGUUGGAAAGUUUCGGCGGUUGGGGAUGGACUCGCGGCUUAUCAGCUUGUUGGUGGGGUAGUGGCUUACCAAGGCUUUGACGGGUAGCCGGCCUGAGAGGGUGACCGGCCACAUUGGGACUGAGAUACGGCCCAGACUCCUACGGGAGGCAGCAGUGGGGAAUAUUGCACAAUGGGCGGAAGCCUGAUGCAGCAACGCCGCGUGCGGGAUGACGGCCUUCGGGUUGUAAACCGCUUUCGCCUGUGACGAAGCGUGAGUGACGGUAAUGGGUAAAGAAGCACCGGCUAACUACGUGCCAGCAGCCGCGGUGAUACGUAGGGUGCGAGCGUUGUCCGGAUUUAUUGGGCGUAAAGGGCUCGUAGGUGGUUGAUCGCGUCGGAAGUGUAAUCUUGUGGGCUUAACCCUGAGCGUGCUUUCGAUACGGGUUGACUUGAGGAAGGUAGGGGAGAAUGGAAUUCCUGGUGGAGCGGUGGAAUGCGCAGAUAUCAGGAGGAACACCAGUGGCGAAGGCGGUUCUCUGGGCCUUUCCUGACGCUGAGGAGCGAAAGCGUGGGGAGCGAACAGGCUUAGAUGCCCUGGUAGUCCACGCUGUAAACGGUGGGUACUAGGUGUGGGGUCCAUUCCACGGGUUCCGCGCCGUAGCUAACGCUUUAAGUACCCCGCCUGGGGAGUACGGCCGCAAGGCUAAAACUCAAAGGAAUUGACGGGGCCCCGCACAAGCGGCGGAGCAUGCGGAUUAAUUCGAUGCAACGCGUAGAACCUUACCUGGGUUUGACAUGGAUCGGGAGUGCUCAGAGAUGGGUGUGCCUCUUUUGGGGUCGGUUCACAGGUGGUGCAUGGCUGUCGCCAGCUCGUGUCGUGAGAUGUUGGGUUAAGUCCCGCAACGAGCGCAACCCUUGUUCACUGUUGCCAGCACGUUAUGGUGGGGACUCAGUGGAGACCGCCGGGGUCAACUCGGAGGAAGGUGGGGAUGACGUCAAGUCAUCAUGCCCCUUAUGUCCAGGGCUUCACGCAUGCUACAAUGGCUGGUACAGAGAGUGGCGAGCCUGUGAGGGUGAGCGAAUCUCGGAAAGCCGGUCUCAGUUCGGAUUGGAGUCUGCAACUCGACUCCAUGAAGUCGGAAUCGCUAGUAAUCGCAGAUCAGCUAUGCUGCGGUGAAUACGUUCCCGGGCCUUGUA
This 1371-nucleotide ribosomal RNA is filed under the name uncultured bacterium. Its description in RNAcentral is "16S ribosomal RNA". It matches the Rfam family "Bacterial small subunit ribosomal RNA", at positions 8 to 1385 of the family's 1533-position model. The record is from RNAcentral.